CAGGCCUAACACAUGCAAGUCGAACGGUAACAGGAAGCAGCUUGCUGCUUCGCUGACGAGUGGCGGACGGGUGAGUAAUGUCUGGGAAACUGCCUGAUGGAGGGGGAUAACUACUGGAAACGGUAGCUAAUACCGCAUAACGUCGCAAGACCAAAGAGGGGGACCUUCGGGCCUCUUGCCAUCGGAUGUGCCCAGAUGGGAUUAGCUAGUACGUGGGGUAACGGCUCACCUAGGCGACGAUCCCUAGCUGGUCUGAGAGGAUGACCAGCCACACUGGAACUGAGACACGGUCCAGACUCCUACGGGAGGCAGCAGUGGGGAAUAUUGCACAAUGGGCGCAAGCCUGAUGCAGCCAUGCCGCGUGUAUGAAGAAGGCCUUCGGGUUGUAAAGUACUUUCAGCGGGGAGGAAGGCGACAGGGUUAAUAACCCUGUCGAUUGACGUUACCCGCAGAAGAAGCACCGGCUAACUCCGUGCCAGCAGCCGCGGUAAUACGGAGGGUGCAAGCGUUAAUCGGAAUUACUGGGCGUAAAGCGCACGCAGGCGGUCUGUCAAGUCGGAUGUGAAAUCCCCGGGCUCAACCUGGGAACUGCAUUCGAAACUGGCAGGCUAGAGUCUUGUAGAGGGGGGUAGAAUUCCAGGUGUAGCGGUGAAAUGCGUAGAGAUCUGGAGGAAUACCGGUGGCGAAGGCGGCCCCCUGGACAAAGACUGACGCUCAGGUGCGAAAGCGUGGGG
This 734-nucleotide ribosomal RNA is filed under the name uncultured Enterobacterales bacterium. Its description in RNAcentral is "bacterial SSU rRNA". It matches the Rfam family "Bacterial small subunit ribosomal RNA", at positions 43 to 766 of the family's 1533-position model. The record is from RNAcentral. Lineage: Bacteria; Pseudomonadati; Pseudomonadota; Gammaproteobacteria; Enterobacterales.